UACGUAGGGUGCGAGCGUUUAAUCGGAAUUACUGGGCGUAAAGCGUGCGCAGGCGGUUUUGUAAGUCAGAUGUGAAAUCCCCGGGCUCAACCUGGGAACUGCGUUUGAAACUACAAGGCUAGAGUGUAGCAGAGGGGGGUAGAAUUCCACGUGUAGCAGUGAAAUGCGUAGAGAUGUGGAGGAAUACCAAUGGCGAAGGCAGCCCCCUGGGUUAACACUGACGCUCAUGCACGAAAGCGUGGGGAGCAAACAGG
RNAcentral lists this ribosomal RNA (254 nucleotides) under uncultured bacterium. Its description in RNAcentral is "partial 16S ribosomal RNA". It matches the Rfam family "Bacterial small subunit ribosomal RNA", at positions 524 to 776 of the family's 1533-position model. The record is from RNAcentral.